Molecule: ribosomal RNA, 508 nt
Filed under: uncultured bacterium
Lineage: Bacteria
Description: partial 16S ribosomal RNA
Rfam family: Bacterial small subunit ribosomal RNA
Source: RNAcentral
GACGAACGCUGGCGGCGUGCCUAAUACAUGCAAGUCGAACGCUUCCUUCCUCCCGAGUGCUUGCACUCAAUUGGAAAGAGGAGUGGCGGACGGGUGAGUAACACGUUGGUAACCUACCCAGCAGGGGGGGAUAACACUUGGAAACAGGUGCUAAUACCGCAUAACAGUUUAUGCCGCAUGGCAUAAGAGUUAAAGGCGCUUUCGGUUGUCGCUGAUGGAUGGAGCCGCGGUGCAUUAGCUAGUUGGUGAGGUAACGGCUCACCAAGGCCACGAUGCAUAGCCGACCUGAGAGGGUGAUCGGCCACACUGGGACUGAGACACGGCCCAGACUCCUACGGGAGGCAGCAGUAGGGAAUCUUCGGCAAUGGACGAAAGUCUGACCGAGCAACGCCGCGUGAGUGAAGAAGGUUUUCGGAUCGUAAAACUCUGUUGUUAGAGAAGAACAAGGACGUUAGUAACUGAACGUCCCCUGACGGUAUCUAACCAGAAAGCCACGGCUAACUACGUG